Molecule: ribosomal RNA, 1010 nt
Filed under: Westerdykella ornata
Lineage: Eukaryota; Fungi; Ascomycota; Dothideomycetes; Pleosporales; Sporormiaceae
Description: SSU rRNA
Rfam family: Eukaryotic small subunit ribosomal RNA
Source: RNAcentral
AAACUGCGAAUGGCUCAUUAAAUCAGUUAUCGUUUAUUAGAUAGUACCUUACUACUUGGAUAACCGUGGUAAUUCUAGAGCUAAUACAUGCUAAAAACCCCAACUUCGGGAGGGGUGUAUUUAUUAGAUAAAAAACCAAUGCCCUUCGGGGCUCUUUGGUGAUUCAUGAUAACUUAACGGAUCGCAUGGCCUUGCGCCGGCGACGGUUCAUUCAAAUUUCUGCCCUAUCAACUUUCGAUGGUAAGGUAUUGGCUUACCAUGGUUUCAACGGGUAACGGGGAAUUAGGGUUCGAUUCCGGAGAGGGAGCCUGAGAAACGGCUACCACAUCCAAGGAAGGCAGCAGGCGCGCAAAUUACCCAAUCCCGACGCGGGGAGGUAGUGACAAUAAAUACUGAUACAGGGCUCUUUUGGGUCUUGUAAUCGGAAUGAGUACAAUUUAAACCCCUUAACGAGGAACAAUUGGAGGGCAAGUCUGGUGCCAGCAGCCGCGGUAAUUCCAGCUCCAAUAGCGUAUAUUAAAGUUGUUGCAGUUAAAAAGCUCGUAGUUGAACCUUGGGCCUGGCUGGCCGGUCCGCCUCACCGCGUGUACUGGUCCGGCCGGGCCUUUCCUUCUGGAGAACCCCAUGCCCUUCACUGGGCGUGUGGGGGAACCAGGACUUUUACUUUGAAAAAAUUAGAGUGUUCAAAGCAGGCCUUUGCUCGGAUACGUUAGCAUGGAAUAAUAGAAUAGGACGUGCGAUCCUAUUUUGUUGGUUUCUAGGACCGCCGUAAUGAUUAAUAGGGACAGUCGGGGGCAUCAGUAUUCAAUUGUCAGAGGUGAAAUUCUUGGAUUUAUUGAAGACUAACUACUGCGAAAGCAUUUGCCAAGGAUGUUUUCAUUAAUCAGUGAACGAAAGUUAGGGGAUCGAAGACGAUCAGAUACCGUCGUAGUCUUAACCGUAAACUAUGCCGACUAGGGAUCGGGAGAUGUUCUCUCUUGACUCGCUCGGCACCUUACGAGAAAUCAAAG